Molecule: ribosomal RNA, 590 nt
Filed under: uncultured bacterium
Lineage: Bacteria
Description: partial 16S ribosomal RNA
Rfam family: Bacterial small subunit ribosomal RNA
Source: RNAcentral
UGGGGAAUUUUGGACAAUGGGCGAAAGCCUGAUCCAGCAAUGCCGCGUGUGUGAGGAAGGCCUUCGGGUUGUAAAGCACUUUUGUCCGGAAAGAAAUCCUUGGCUCUAAUACAGUCGGGGGAUGACGGUACCGGAAGAAUAAGCACCGGCUAACUACGUGCCAGCAGCCGCGGUAAUACGUAGGGUGCAAGCGUUAAUCGGAAUUACUGGGCGUAAAGCGUGCGCAGGCGGUUUGCUAAGACCGAUGUGAAAUCCCCGGGCUCAACCUGGGAACUGCAUUGGUGACUGGCAGGCUAGAGUAUGGCAGAGGGGGGUAGAAUUCCACGUGUAGCAGUGAAAUGCGUAGAGAUGUGGAGGAAUACCGAUGGCGAAGGCAGCCCCCUGGGCCAAUACUGAACGCUCAUGCACGAAAGCGUGGGGGAGCAAAACAGGAUUAGAUACCCUGGUAGUCCACGCCCUAAAACGAUGUCAACUAGUUGUUGGGGGAUUCAUUUCCUUAGUAACGUAGCUAACGCGUGAAGUUGACCGCCUGGGGAGUACGGUCGCAAGAUUAAAACUCAAAUGAAUUGACGGGGUCAUAGCUGUUUCCU